Molecule: ribosomal RNA, 327 nt
Filed under: uncultured bacterium
Lineage: Bacteria
Description: bacterial SSU rRNA
Rfam family: Bacterial small subunit ribosomal RNA
Source: RNAcentral
GACGAACGCUGGCGGCGUGCUUAAUACAUGCAAGUCAACUAAGUCUUUUGCAGCAAUGUAAAAGAUUUGGUGGCGCACGGGUGAGUAUAACGUAGGCAAUCUACCAAAAGGUCUGACACAACCUGCCGAAAGGCAGGCUAAUAUCAGAUGAUACAAAAAGCAGGCAUCUGCUCUUUAUCAAAGCUUCGGCGCCUUUUGAUGAGCCUACGCCCCAUUAGAUAGUUGGCGGGGUAAUAGCCCACCAAGUCUACGAUGGGUAACUGGUCUGAGAGGAUGAUCAGUCACACUGGAACUGAGACACGGUCCAGACUCCUACGGGAGGCAGCA